AAAAACUACAUUUCUACCAAACACACAGUAUUUUCUAGGUGUAUGUCAAGCAUGUUCAACAUUGCCAUCUCUCUUAAUACAAAUUUGCAGUAUUCCAAGCAAUGCAGUCAACAGAAGCCCUCUUUAACAAUGCUGAUGUUGCAAAACAAACAGUACUCAAAAAGAUGAAAAUCUCACUCUCCCAUUCUGGUAAAAGCCUCUGAAAAGGUGGACUCUCCAAGCCAUCCCUUUUUGUACACCAAGCAGCUGUGACAGUGGAGUUCCUACAAACAGCAACAUUACAGAAAACAGAGGCCAGAGCUUGCCAUCAUUGCUGCUUGCAGUGUGUUCUGCAAGUCACAGGUCUGCCAUACAAUACCAAGAUUCAUUCACCUCUUCAACAUCCACUGCCAUUUCUGCACUAUUGCAUGUGGACACUGUCUUCACCCCUUGACCCUAGCAGGUUCAGUGAGUAUCUUGCACCAGGGAUAACCAGGCUGCGUUCAUCCUAGUGACUCAGCGGACACCUAACCACAAGCAGAGCACGCCAGACCUCUUCAUCCAACACCGAAAGGUACAUCUAGGAAAACAGACUACUAGACAUUAAUCACUGUCUUUUUCCUUUAACUGUGUUUCCUUCAGAUUUUUCAUGAUUUUCAUACUUAUCUAAUCCCAUUUUCUCCAAUAAUCACUAUUCCGUAACUCACUCCCAUUACUCUGAACCAUCAAUUUUUUAAUGAAUGUAGACAAGAUUGAAGGAGAAAUCCGGUCUUACUAAUGAUAGGGGAAUGUAAAAAGUCUUAGGCCACCACACCUACCUAUACCAACACUUCACAAAGGACAUCUGAGACACAUAAAACUAGCCUUCCAAGCAACAUUGAAACAGAACGUUAUUCCCACAGCAUAAUGGGUCUAAGCAGAGAGACAAUGAAAUGCCACUAACAGGACCUGAGUCAGAUCUGAUGACCUUUGUGAAAAACUCUGCAGAAGAAUUUUUUUGAAACAUGAUUUUAUAUUAAAUAAUAGAUUUUACACAUAUUGCAUGUUACCUUAUUAAACUCACUAUUUAUGCUUGCUAUAAGGAAGCAUAAGGCAAAACAAAAACAUCAAAAAUUGUGCAAGACUCAGUGGAAGUCUUCCUUAUGGUAGUCAAACAACAGGUCUCUCAGAAGAAUAUGUAUCUGUCCUUAUGCUGAGCUAAUAACGAAGGAGUGCAGUGUCUCUUUCCACUCAUAGCAGAGCUGCAGAAAAGGCUUUACAGAGGUACAGUAAUCUGCAAGGCUCUUUUUAACCUUACCACACACUCUCAUAUCUUUCCAAAAAUUCAAAACCACCAGUAAAAUCACAAAACUACAGCCACAUGGAACAUCAGGGAUGUAAAGCUGACAUUCUUGCUAGGCAUAUGUUUCUAAUUAUUUAGUUUACACUUUGCAUUUUAAAAAGUUCUGUAAAGUUAAAAUUAUUAAUAUAAAUCCAUAAAUUGCAAAUGGCAAUCAUCGGAAUAUCAAAUCA
Molecule: long non-coding RNA, 1491 nt
Organism: Cyanistes caeruleus (blue tit)
Lineage: Eukaryota; Metazoa; Chordata; Aves; Passeriformes; Paridae
Source: Ensembl